This 1371-nucleotide long non-coding RNA is filed under the name Stegodyphus dumicola. RNAcentral describes it as "uncharacterized LOC118197070, transcript variant X1". The record is from RNAcentral. Lineage: Eukaryota; Metazoa; Arthropoda; Arachnida; Araneae; Eresidae.
CUUGGGAAAUGGAUAGCGUCGGCUAGAAGUGUAGUUAAGGAAAAAGAGGUUGUGUCCAGAGUCGUGUUCUACUCCUCUCCGCCACACCGUCUCCAAUUCUCGUGAAUGAUAGAAAAGAGUUUCAGUUUUCAAUGGUUUCCAGUUUGAUAUUUCGCCUACAGGCUGGCGUUUUUGUUUAUCUUCUUAAAAGCAGUAUUCGUAUUCCUCCUGCUUCAUUUUCAGGAUGAUCUAAUUAAAGCAGCAGAUCGGCAAAUGGAACGUACAUCCGAGCUUACACUUUUAAAGGAUGACGCUGCUCACAAACAAAACAAAGUUGAGUUCCUUGGAAACGUUUAUAAGAAAAGAUUCAAGAUGGGUGCUAGACUGACCAACAUCUCGAGCUCAAGACCGCUCUUUGCAAGCCUUUAGCUGCAUUCUCCUACAUACUUCUACCGAAAGCCUUAGCCAGCAGGAAGGAUGUUCUAAAUUUACAGAAUGGAGAUCACAAAAGUCUUACGGGGAGCGUCUUGGCGACCCUUCACCCUGUCGGGGGGUCAUGAACAUGCACGCAGAAUUUGCUAUUACAAGCUCUUUGAAGGAGAAAUCAACGUGGAUGGUCUGUCUUUCUCCAUCCCCAUUCACCAGCUCGAUAAGUUCAAAAGCAUGAAGAACUUAUAGAUCAAUGUUCGGCUGGAGAAACAAUGAGAUUUGACCUUUUCAGAUCACAAAGAGUCGAAACUGUAAUGUAUCAUUACUUUACAUUUUUGCAACCACUUGUUAACCACUGUAAUGAUUAAUCCGUAAACUCCCCCCCUUUGGUGACUUAUAUCAACGAAUAGUCUGCCUUUAUUUACAUAUGAAGAAUUUUUCAUAUUGUGAAAAGAACCGCAGCUUGUGGGCGCCUCGUUUGAACUUUAAAAUGCCAAAUAUUCUUUUCUCUCAUUUGUGUUCAAACUUUCAAACUGUUCACAGCACCAAUUAGAAAAACUGAAACUCAUUUACCUAUCAGUUACCACCAAUCGUUGAUAUAGCAGAUAAAUUAAGAAAAAGAAAAAACGCCUGAAAAAAGAAGAAUUUCGUGCGGAAGACACAUUAGAGAAAGAUGUCGAGAAUGUGGUUAUUUUAAAAUGCAAGUUCGAAGCAAGAGACGUAUAUAAUCAUGUGAACGAGCAUAAUUCGACUCGAGGUGAGCUCAUUUAUCAUGCUCAAGUCAUUCUAAGGACUCAUGUUGUAACUCUUAUCAAUCAUUUUUAAGAAAGAAGAAAAAGAACCGUUACUGAGCAAAACUGUUUACUCUGUUUUUUUAAAAUUAUUUAGGGUAUUUCAUGCUGUGUUAAAAGAAUUAAGUUUACCUACUAUGCAUGAUGUUUAUAACAAAUUAAAUGUCAUAUA